CAACCCUUUAGUAAAUCCAAGCAAACUUUUAAUAAAUCCAAGCAACCCUUUCGUAAAUCCAAGCAAACUUUUUGUAAAUUCAAGCAACCUUUUCGUAAGCGUCCCCGGAUUGGACCGGGAGAUCGAAUUGAUUAUAGAAACAUGAGUUUAAUUAAUAUAUUUAUUAGUGAACAAGGAAAAAUAUGUUCUGAGAUUGAUGUUGCUAUGACUUUGCCAUGCUUAAUGCUUGUCACUAGGGCCCGAGUGCCAUGA
Molecule: ribosomal RNA, 252 nt
Filed under: Triticum aestivum (bread wheat)
Lineage: Eukaryota; Viridiplantae; Streptophyta; Magnoliopsida; Poales; Poaceae
Description: partial small subunit ribosomal RNA
Source: RNAcentral